Molecule: long non-coding RNA, 978 nt
Organism: Cucumis melo (muskmelon)
Lineage: Eukaryota; Viridiplantae; Streptophyta; Magnoliopsida; Cucurbitales; Cucurbitaceae
Exons: 3
Source: RefSeq, a predicted model, not a curated record
GUAGAUGCCUCUCAACCCACUCCCACUUCAAGGAGACGUCAGCACUCCCAAAACUUGGAAUUGGAGUGGUACGUAAAACAACACUGGAAGAUCCCUAUAUCAAUUGCCUUAGGGAAAACCCAUCUCACCACACGUCGUUAGGUUCAGCACGGUCAUCGGUGUGUUAAUGCGAAACAUAUUUUCGAUCACUGCCCUCAAGUGGGGCGAUGUACCUCCAUAGUACAUCGAGGAUGUCAAAGGCGGCCUGCAGUGUAGGAGUAAUUGAGGGUCAACAAGGCUGCUAGACCAUAACAACCUUACAACCAUAAAAGUGAAUCCAAGUCGUUCCUUCAACGGUAACACAAUCUCGCUAAAGAACACGGUCGCCCAGUGGACAGUGUCGAGUUGUUUAGAGAAACACACGCUAAUUCGUAUGUUGAAACUCCAGUCCCAACCCACCUUGAAAGAUUCGUAAUCACUUUCUAGGGACGAGAUAUGCAAGAUCGUGUUGGGUAGGCGAUUGGGCUACUAAAAAGAUCUUGGUUGGGGCCCCGCCCAAGUCCCAGAAGAGUAUUACUUCAAGUUCUUCCUCUUCUCAUCAUGAGAUGCACUCCAUAGAGGUUAGUGAACUAAAUGCUAGCCUUAAAAAUGCUAACUGCCUAAUUGAAGAACAACGGACAAGGGAGGAGGAACAUGACAGAUAAAUUACCGAGACAAAUUGUCAAAUGGAGGAGAUGAGGAGGAUGAUUGAGGAGAUUAGUCGGACACAGAGAGGACCAUGAAGACACUUAUGGUACGUAUUUUUAACUUUAAUUCGUUUAAUUUCUAAUGUAUGAAAUAUAUAUAACUAUAUUUUUAUGUUAUUUGUUGGUUUGGAGAUUUUUCUUUGCAUACAAUCGAGGUUUUAGGAUAGAUUGAUGUAGUUAUAUUAUUUUAAUGUACUCUUUUUAAACAAUUCAGAUAGUAUUAAUUGUAAAUGUUAUUAGACAUUCGGAUGAA